AGAGUUUGAUCAUAGCUCAGGAUGAACGCUAGCGGUGCGCCUAACACAUGCAAGUCGAGCGAUGAAGUUUUCUACACAGAGCAGAAAAACAAUAUACCUUUUCUCUUCUCUGUGUAGAAAAUAGAUUAGCGGCAAACGGGUGCGUAACACGUUGAUACUUCCCCCUAAGUCAGGGAUAGCCUGGAGAAAUCCAGAUUAAUACCGGAUAGUCCCGAAAGGGUAAAGCAGCAAUGCGCUCAGGGAAAGGUCUGCGGCCUAUCAGCUAGUUGGUGAGGUAAUAGCUCACCAAGGCAAUGACGGGUAGCUGGUCUGAGAGGACGGCCAGCCACAAUGGGACUGAGACACGGCCCAUACUCCUACGGGAGGCAGCAGUGAGGAAUCUUCCACAAUGGGCGAAAGCCUGAUGGAGCGACACCGCGUGAAGGAUGAAGCCUUUGUUGGUGUAAACUUCUUUUCUCUUGGAAGAUAAUGACGGUACAAGAGGAAUAAGGGGCGGCAAACUUCGUGCCAGCAGCCGCGGUAAUACGAGGGCCCCAAGCGUUAUCCGGAAUUACUGGGCGUAAAGCGUCUGUAGGUGGUUUUUUAAGUUUCGUAUGAAACUCCAGGGCUCAACCCUGGAUUGUGCGAAAAACUGGGGAACUUGAGUGUGGGAGAGGCAAGCAGAACGGUAUGAGUAGGGGUGCAAUCCGUUGAUACAUACCAGAAUACCAAAAGCGAAGGCAGCUUGCUGGAACACUACUGACACUGAGAGACGAAAGCGUGGGGAGCGAAAGGGAUUAGAUACCCCUGUAGUCCACGCCCUAAACGAUGGAUGCUAGGUGUUGGACGUAAGUUCAGUGCUCAAGCUAACGCAUUAAGCAUCCCGCCUGAGGAGUACGGCCGCAAGGUUAAAACUCAAAUGAAUAGACGGGGACCCGCACAAGCAGUGGAUCAUGUGGUUUAAUUCGACAAUAAACGAGGAACCUCACCUAGGCUUGACAUUGAUAGAAUCCACCAGAAAUGGAGGAGUGCCCGCAAGGGAGCUUGAAAACAGGCGCUGCAUGGUUGUCGUCAGCUCGUGCCUUGAGGUGUUCGGUUAAGUCCGUUAAC
Molecule: ribosomal RNA, 1089 nt
Filed under: uncultured Candidatus Altimarinota bacterium
Lineage: Bacteria; Candidatus Altimarinota
Description: bacterial SSU rRNA
Rfam family: Bacterial small subunit ribosomal RNA
Source: RNAcentral